RNAcentral lists this ribosomal RNA (257 nucleotides) under Clostridioides difficile. RNAcentral describes it as "partial 23S ribosomal RNA". It matches the Rfam family "Bacterial large subunit ribosomal RNA", at positions 2417 to 2674 of the family's 2925-position model. The record is from RNAcentral. Lineage: Bacteria; Bacillati; Bacillota; Clostridia; Peptostreptococcales; Peptostreptococcaceae.
GAUCCGGUGGUCUGCGUGGAAGGGCCAUCGCUCAACGGAUAAAAGCUACCCUGGGGAUAACAGGCUUAUCUCCCCCAAGAGUCCACAUCGACGGGGAGGUUUGGCACCUCGAUGUCGGCUCAUCACCUCCUGGGGCUGUAGUAGGUCCCAAGGGUUGGGCUGUUCGCCCAUUAAAGUGGUACGCGAGCUGGGUUCAGAACGUCGUGAGACAGUUCGGUCCCUAUCCGUCGCAGGCGUAGGAAAUUAGAGAAGACCUG